RNAcentral lists this ribosomal RNA (791 nucleotides) under uncultured bacterium. Its description in RNAcentral is "bacterial SSU rRNA". It matches the Rfam family "Bacterial small subunit ribosomal RNA", at positions 8 to 796 of the family's 1533-position model. The record is from RNAcentral.
AGAGUUUGAUCCUGGCUCAGAUUGAACGCUGGCGGCAUGCUUUACACAUGCAAGUCGAACGGCAGCGCGGGGCAACCUGGCGGCGAGUGGCGAACGGGUGAGUAAUAWAUCGGAACGUACCCAAGAGUGGGGGAUAACGUAGCGAAAGUUACGCUAAUACCGCAUACGAUCUAAGGAUGAAAGUGGGGGAUCGCAAGACCUCAUGCUCCUGGAGCGGCCGAUAUCUGAUUAGCUAGUUGGUGAGGUAAAGGCUCACCAAGGCGACGAUCAGUAGCUGGUCUGAGAGGACGACCAGCCACACUGGAACUGAGACACGGUCCAGACUCCUACGGGAGGCAGCAGUGGGGAAUUUUGGACAAUGGGCGCAAGCCUGAUCCAGCAAUGCCGCGUGAGUGAAGAAGGCCUUCGGGUUGUAAAGCUCUUUUGUCAGGGAAGAAACGGUAGAGGCUAAUAUCCUUUGCUAAUGACGGUACCUGAAGAAUAAGCACCGGCUAACUACGUGCCAGCAGCCGCGGUAAUACGUAGGGUGCAAGCGUUAAUCGGAAUUACUGGGCGUAAAGCGUGCGCAGGCGGUUUUGUAAGUCUGUCGUGAAAGCCCCGGGCUCAACCUGGGAAUUGCGAUGGAGACUGCAAGGCUUGAAUCUGGCAGAGGGGGGUAGAAUUCCACGUGUAGCAGUGAAAUGCGUAGAGAUGUGGAGGAACACCGAUGGCGAAGGCAGCCCCCUGGGUCAAGAUUGACGCUCAUGCACGAAAGCGUGGGGAGCAAACAGGAUUAGAUACCCUGGUAGUCC